This 1202-nucleotide ribosomal RNA is filed under the name Tetracladium ellipsoideum. RNAcentral's name for it is "eukaryotic LSU rRNA". It matches the Rfam family "Eukaryotic large subunit ribosomal RNA", at positions 71 to 983 of the family's 3401-position model. The record is from RNAcentral. Lineage: Eukaryota; Fungi; Ascomycota; Leotiomycetes; Helotiales.
GGGAUUGCCUCAGUAACGGCGAGUGAAGCGGCAAAAGCUCAAAUUUGAAAUCUGGCUCUUUCAGGGUCCGAGUUGUAAUUUGUAGAAGAUGUUUCGGGUGUGGCUCCGGUUUAAGUUCUUUGGAAUAUUACAUCAUAGAGGGUGAGAAUCCCGUAUGUGACCGGCAGCCUCCGCCCAUGUGAAACUCUUUCGACGAGUCGAGUUGUUUGGGAAUGCAGCUCAAAAUGGGAGGUAUAUUUCUUCUAAAGCUAAAUAUAGGCCAGAGACCGAUAGCGCACAAGUAGAGUGAUCGAAAGAUGAAAAGCACUUUGGAAAGAGAGUUAAACAGUACGUGAAAUUGUUGAAAGGGAAGCGCUUGCAACCAGACUUGCACGCAGUUGAUCAUCCGGUGUUCUCACCGGGGCACUCUGCUGCGUUCAGGCCAGCAUCGGUUUCGGUGGUUGGAUAAAGGCCUUGGGAAUGUGGCUUCCUUCGGGGAGUGUUAUAGCCCUCGGUGCAAUGCAGCCUACCGGGACCGAGGACCGCGCUUCGGCUAGGAUGCUGGCGUAAUGGUUGUAAGCGACCCGUCUUGAAACACGGACCAAGGAGUCUAACAUCUAUGCGAGUGUUUGGGUGUUAAACCCAUACGCGUAAUGAAAGUGAACGGAGGUGAGAACCCUUAAGGGUGCAUCAUCGACCGGUCCUGAAGUCUUCGGAUGGAUCUGAGUAAGAGCAUAGCUGUUGGGACCCGAAAGAUGGUGAACUAUGCGUGAAUAGGGUGAAGCCAGAGGAAACUCUGGUGGAGGCUCGCAGCGGUUCUGACGUGCAAAUCGAUCGUCAAAUUUGCGCAUAGGGGCGAAAGACUUAUCGAACCAUUGAACACCUACUAGGUGGUUAAGAGGCCGCGCAGGCGGCCUAGUCCUCACGCGAGGGCGACAUUGUCAAAUUGUUCGGGGACCUCCUGAUAACUCUCAGACUACCGCAGCCCGCCCGAAAGGGGGGCGCGCACCGGGCUAACGACCCUGGGGAUGGUAACAACGUCUGGGUAGGGAAGAUCCGCAGCCAAGUCCUACCGCCCCCCGGGGCCACGGAUGCAGUUCACAGACUUGAAGGCAGUGGGCUCUGGCACACCAGAGCUUAAGAUAAAGUCGACCCCCCAGGAGACUGGGUGGGGGGAGGAGAGUGCGCGCACUCAGAGUCCCCCGGGGCUCUCGGAGCCUGAG